AUUUGUUGAGAUGGCUUUGUAUUGUUUCUCAAAAUCGUAAACAGGAGUCUCUUUCUCUACCUCUCUCUCUCGAACUCAUCGUCUCUUCAUCUCCAUCUCUCCUCCGUAGUGCUUUCCGGUCAGUUUCUUCAUGGCUUUCCGGUCAGUUUCUCUUCUUAAUUCUUUCUUAGCGUUUCAAUUUGGGGUUUUUUAGGUUUGAGUUUCGAUUUAUCUUGACUAUCUGUUCUGGGUCAAGGGGUUACGAUUUUGUAAUGAUUUAUGGGUCAGAGGAAGCAGAGCACGACAGAGUUUUGCGGCGAAGUUACCAAAGAGGAAUCUGCUGGCUAAUGUUCAAAAGGCCUCUACGGUGGCUUAGAAUGCUCAUCGAAGAGCUUCACUGGAGCUUCUUCUUCGGUAUAAUUGUCGUCUACGGCGUUAGCCAAGGUCUCAGUAAAGUUUUGGGUUCUGUUGACCGAUGUUGUAAGGGUUUUUGGUUACAGGAGACGACCCUAUUUCAUAUUCGCUGGGGAAUGAUUUUACUCCUUUUGAAGGUUAUUUGAUGGGAGAGUUGAGGAUGCACUUUUGAUGUCUCUCAUGAUGAAGGGCCGUAAGAAGAAAGAGAGGUUUGCUUUACAGGAUAAACCACAAGAACUACUUGAAAAACGGCCGUGUAGUUACAUCUCCGGCGGUCAACAACACGGAGACCGAUUGAAUAACUGCAGAUGAAGAUGUGAUUGGAUAUGAUUUUCUAGUGAUAGCUACUGGUCACAACGACCUGUUCCCCAAAACCAGACAAGAAAAUCUCUCACAGUACCAAACAUAAUAUGAGAAGAUCAGAUCUUCUAAAUCAGUUCUGAUUGUUGGUGGAGGACCUUCUGGUGUGGAACUAGCUGCAGAAAUCUCUGUUCAGCUUCAGACGGAAACAAAACAUACCGGACUUCAGGAGGAGAGACUAUACACGCAGGUUGUCAUUUCCUCUGUGUUGUGAAACCUCUGUCUUCUCAAUGGCUCAGUGGGGCUGUUUUGAAAGAUAGCUUGGGUCAGAGAUGGUCAUUGUUUCUUUAGGAAGAAAAGACUAGUUGGCUCUGUUUCCGUUUGCGACGUUCGUUGGUUGCCUCCCUGGUUUGAUCAAGUCGAAGGAUCUAUUUGUAAGGAAGACGAGGAAGACAAGAGGGCUAAAUCCUAAACUUGUUCAAGAUUGAGUCAUUUAGUAUGUUUCAGAGGUUUCAUCUUGUGUGUGUUUUUUUUCUCUUUCGUGCGACCUCUUUGUUUCAUUGUGGAGUGAAUGUAGGUUUGCGUAUGUUGUUUGUGUGUUGUAUCUUUGAUGUACUAUUGAUAUUAUUUGAAUCAAAUAAAAAACCGGAAGAAUAGUUAACCAAA
Molecule: long non-coding RNA, 1359 nt
Organism: Brassica oleracea var. oleracea
Lineage: Eukaryota; Viridiplantae; Streptophyta; Magnoliopsida; Brassicales; Brassicaceae
Exons: 3
Source: RefSeq, a predicted model, not a curated record